UGUAACCCCCCGCCACCACCCACCUCAUGUUUAAUUCAUUUGGGGACUCACCUGUCAGUUUCAGCCUCUAAUGCUGCAGGGGUGUCAUUACUGCGACCUCCCGUCAAGGAGCCAGCGUGGGUUUUAAUUGGAAAGCGACGCCGAGUUCUCGGAGCUACAAUUAUUAGGGGCAAAUUAUAAAAUAAUUUUAAAAAAAGGGCAGGUGCAACUCCUUAAAAUGGCUGAUAUCUGAUAUUUGUUUCAGCGGCUAUCCGAAAGGGGCGUCGGCACCCGACUGAUGGUUAUGUCUCGUCUUAAUUGGUUACUGGACUUCUCUCCCGACUGACGGUUAUGACUCGUCUUAACUGGUUACUGGACUUCUCUCCCGACUGACGGUUAUGACUCGUCUUAAUUGGUUACUGGACUUCUCUCCCGACUGACGGUUAUGACUCGUCUUAAUUGGUUACUGGACUUCUCUCCCGACUGACGGUUAUGACUCGUCUUAAUUGGUUACUGGAGUUCUCUCCCGACUGACGGUUAUGACUCCUCUUAAUUGGUUACUGGAGUUCUCUCCCGACUGACGGUUAUGACUCGUCUUAAUUGGUUACUGGAGUUCUCUCCCGACUGACGGUUAUGUCUCAUCUUAAUUGGUUAAUUGGACUUCUCUCCCGACCGACGUCGCGUCCGUUCAAACAACGUGGGAGUAAUGAAAGAGAUCCGUCGAAACAAACUGGGGGAGGGGUCACCCGGAGUUUAGAGAACAGAAGGAAAACUUUUGGGUAAAAUACAAAAUGUCCUGCUUCACCUAAAGGGGUUUCCUACACACAACUCCAGGGGAGAUUUCCUGUGUUAGUGUUGCGUCUACUCAAGCGUUUUGUUUAUUUCGAUGUGCCAAUGAUAAGGAGUACAAAGAAACCCCUAUUAGAUUGUACCGGGAGUGGUAACGCAUAGCUCAUUAAGUGAAAAUUAGAUGUAGAAUAGAGUUUGAGAGAGUAUGGAAAAAUUGAGUCGCCCAGUACUGGAGGGGUCCAUCUCUCUGGCUCACCACACGAUGUCUCUCUUUGAAUCCGUAACAUGUCCAUCUUACGACAUCCAAAGCCCUAGACUCCUUAAGGGUUAGCUACCACAGGUGACUUCAGAGUAAACUGAGGGAAUACACUCAUUUAAGGGGUAGCUACCACAGGUGACUUCAGAGUAAACUGAGGGAAUACACUCCUUUAAGGGGUAGCUACCACAGGUGACUUCAGAGUAAACUGAGGGAAUACACUCCUUUAAGGGGUAGCUACCACAGGUGACUUCAGAGUAAACUGAGGGAAUACACUCAUUUAAGGGGUAGCUACCACAGGUGACUUCAGAGUAAACUGAGGGAAUACACUCCUUUAAGGGGUAGCUACCACAGGUGACUUCAGAGUAAACUGAGGGAUAACACUAAAUUCAAAAUGAAUAUUAUGUAAUGGCUGAAGGGGAAGAAAAAACAACAAAAACAUUGAAUAUAUGCAUAUUCCAGAAGAUUUUUUUGCAAUUGGGAAGAAACAGA
Molecule: long non-coding RNA, 1516 nt
Organism: Oncorhynchus keta (chum salmon)
Lineage: Eukaryota; Metazoa; Chordata; Actinopteri; Salmoniformes; Salmonidae
Exons: 3
Source: RefSeq, a predicted model, not a curated record